RNAcentral lists this ribosomal RNA (2152 nucleotides) under Escherichia coli. Its description in RNAcentral is "partial 23S ribosomal RNA". It matches the Rfam family "Bacterial large subunit ribosomal RNA", at positions 1 to 2167 of the family's 2925-position model. The record is from RNAcentral. Lineage: Bacteria; Pseudomonadati; Pseudomonadota; Gammaproteobacteria; Enterobacterales; Enterobacteriaceae.
GGGUUGUGAGGUUAAGCGACUAAGCGUACACGGUGGAUGCCCUGGCAGUCAGAGGCGAUGAAGGACGUGCUAAUCUGCGAUAAGCGUCGGUAAGGUGAUAUGAACCGUUAUAACCGGCGAUUUCCGAAUGGGGAAACCCAGUGUGUUUCGACACACUAUCAUUAACUGAAUCCAUAGGUUAAUGAGGCGAACCGGGGGAACUGAAACAUCUAAGUACCCCGAGGAAAAGAAAUCAACCGAGAUUCCCCCAGUAGCGGCGAGCGAACGGGGAGGAGCCCAGAGCCUGAAUCAGUGUGUGUGUUAGUGGAAGCGUCUGGAAAGGCGCGCGAUACAGGGUGACAGCCCCGUACACAAAAAUGCACAUACUGUGAGCUCGAUGAGUAGGGCGGGACACGUGGUAUCCUGUCUGAAUAUGGGGGGACCAUCCUCCAAGGCUAAAUACUCCUGACUGACCGAUAGUGAACCAGUACCGUGAGGGAAAGGCGAAAAGAACCCCGGCGAGGGGAGUGAAAAAGAACCUGAAACCGUGUACGUACAAGCAGUGGGAGCCUCUUUUAUGGGGUGACUGCGUACCUUUUGUAUAAUGGGUCAGCGACUUAUAUUCUGUAGCAAGGUUAACCGAAUAGGGGAGCCGAAGGGAAACCGAGUCUUAACUGGGCGUUAAGUUGCAGGGUAUAGACCCGAAACCCGGUGAUCUAGCCAUGGGCAGGUUGAAGGUUGGGUAACACUAACUGGAGGACCGAACCGACUAAUGUUGAAAAAUUAGCGGAUGACUUGUGGCUGGGGGUGAAAGGCCAAUCAAACCGGGAGAUAGCUGGUUCUCCCCGAAAGCUAUUUAGGUAGCGCCUCGUGAAUUCAUCUCCGGGGGUAGAGCACUGUUUCGGCAAGGGGGUCAUCCCGACUUACCAACCCGAUGCAAACUGCGAAUACCGGAGAAUGUUAUCACGGGAGACACACGGCGGGUGCUAACGUCCGUCGUGAAGAGGGAAACAACCCAGACCGCCAGCUAAGGUCCCAAAGUCAUGGUUAAGUGGGAAACGAUGUGGGAAGGCCCAGACAGCCAGGAUGUUGGCUUAGAAGCAGCCAUCAUUUAAAGAAAGCGUAAUAGCUCACUGGUCGAGUCGGCCUGCGCGGAAGAUGUAACGGGGCUAAACCAUGCACCGAAGCUGCGGCAGCGACGCUUAUGCGUUGUUGGGUAGGGGAGCGUUCUGUAAGCCUGUGAAGGUGUACUGUGAGGUAUGCUGGAGGUAUCAGAAGUGCGAAUGCUGACAUAAGUAACGAUAAAGCGGGUGAAAAGCCCGCUCGCCGGAAGACCAAGGGUUCCUGUCCAACGUUAAUCGGGGCAGGGUGAGUCGACCCCUAAGGCGAGGCCGAAAGGCGUAGUCGAUGGGAAACAGGUUAAUAUUCCUGUACUUGGUGUUACUGCGAAGGGGGGACGGAGAAGGCUAUGUUGGCCGGGCGACGGUUGUCCCGGUUUAAGCGUGUAGGCUGGUUUUCCAGGCAAAUCCGGAAAAUCAAGGCUGAGGCGUGAUGACGAGGCACUACGGUGCUGAAGCAACAAAUGCCCUGCUUCCAGGAAAAGCCUCUAAGCAUCAGGUAACAUCAAAUCGUACCCCAAACCGACACAGGUGGUCAGGUAGAGAAUACCAAGGCGCUUGAGAGAACUCGGGUGAAGGAACUAGGCAAAAUGGUGCCGUAACUUCGGGAGAAGGCACGCUGAUAUGUAGGUGAAGCGACUUGCUCGUGGAGCUGAAAUCAGUCGAAGAUACCAGCUGGCUGCAACUGUUUAUUAAAAACACAGCACUGUGCAAACACGAAAGUGGACGUAUACGGUGUGACGCCUGCCCGGUGCCGGAAGGUUAAUUGAUGGGGUUAGCGGUAACGCGAAGCUCUUGAUCGAAGCCCCGGUAAACGGCGGCCGUAACUAUAACGGUCCUAAGGUAGCGAAAUUCCUUGUCGGGUAAGUUCCGACCUGCACGAAUGGCGUAAUGAUGGCCAGGCUGUCUCCACCCGAGACUCAGUGAAAUUGAACUCGCUGUGAAGAUGCAGUGUACCCGCGGCAAGACGGAAAGACCCCGUGAACCUUUACUAUAGCUUGACACUGAACAUUGAGCCUUGAUGUGUAGGAUAGGUGGGAGGCUUUGAAGUGUGG